AGAUGGAGGAAGAGAGAGACACGAAAAAGGAAAAAGAGAAAGAAGAAGAUGAAGAGUUGAAGAACACAGGGAACAAAGAAAAGAAGAAGGACAAGGAUAAACAAGAAAAGAUGAAGAAGAGCAAAGAUAGUGGGGGCUCAGAAAACGAUGGAGAGAUGGAUCAAAAAGAGAAAAAGAAGAAACACAAAAAAGAGAAGAAGAGCAAAGAUAGUGGGGGCUCAGAAAAUGAUGGAGAGAGGGAUCAAAAAGAGAAAAAGAAGGACAAGAAGACCAAAGGUAAAGGUUUAGAUGAAGAAGAAGAGACAGAGUGCAAAGAUGAAAAAUCGAGCGCCAAGGAUGACUCGAACCACACAGAGGAAGAGCUAGACAAAAAUGAAGAGAAGAAUAUAAAGAAGAAAAAGCACAAGCUAAAAGGAGAAAACGAAGAUGAAGAAGAGAAAAGAAAGGUUAAAGAUAAGAAGAAGGAGCAGAAAGAAGAGGAGAAGAAGGGUAAAAAUAAAGGAGAGGAUGAUGGGGAAAAUGAAGAUGAAGACAAUGAAGAAAAAGAAGGUAAAAAGAAGAAGAAAAAGGAUAAGGGAAAAUGUGAUGACUACGAAAAAGAGGGGAAGAAGAAGAAGGAUAAGAUGAAAGGCAAGGAUAAAAAGAAGAAGAAAGACGUGGAUAAUGAUGAAGAAGAGAAGACGGACCAGGAGGAGAGGAAGGAGCAACACAAAAAUGUAGAGGAUGUGGAGAAGAUGAAGGCCGAAGUUAGUUCCAGAGAGAUUGAAAUAGAAGAUGUCAAAGAGUCAGAGGAGGAGAAGCAGAAAGAUGUGGUCAAGGAAAGUAAAGAGAAGAAGGAUAAAGGGGAGAAGAAGCGAAAGGUUGAUAAGAAAGACAAGUGCAACG
This 885-nucleotide long non-coding RNA is filed under the name Fragaria vesca (wild strawberry). Its description in RNAcentral is "long non-coding RNA (FVES_LNC000329)". Lineage: Eukaryota; Viridiplantae; Streptophyta; Magnoliopsida; Rosales; Rosaceae. The record is from RNAcentral.